GUCCUGAAGACUGGAUUGGGAAACACUUCUUUAAAUUAAUUAUUUACUCUUUUUUUUUAAUAGGACUGCUGCAAGUUAAAGGAUUGACAUUUAGCUGAAGGAUGUCAUAUUACAUCACUGAAACAAUGAUGUCACGCAAUCAUAACAGGACUGAAUGAUCCCUGUUUUGAAAUAAUCUUCAUGGAGGGAUUCACACAUUAAUGGCACGUUGAUGCAAGUGGGAUGAGAAUACAGGUAGGACUCAAGCAGAGAGCUGAAACCAAUAUAGUGAAAGAAGUAGCUUCAAGAGCAUCCGAUCAGCCGAAGGGGACCAAGAUACCGAUGAAACCCAGCAAGUGAAUCCAACAGAACCAAGAGAUCAAAUACAGAUAUAAAACCAAAAAGAGAAUCCAGACCAAAAGUGAGAGCUAUAAGCAUUAAACAGGGGGAGGUUAAAUAGAUGUAUGAAUUGAUUACAGACGUGGGUGACUGGAGGUAGAGGGUGUGCCUACAGCAUGAAACUUUGGAAGCGACAUCAGAAAUUAAUUGCAUGGAGUGAAAUAUGUUUGCCGUUGCUGUGAAAUUGUAUUUAGCAAUUUGUACGUUUCUGCAAAUGUACUUUAAUGACAUUAUGGGAUCUACAGAUGUUCAUGUAAUUCAUUUCCCCCCCUCCUUAAUGCCAUAUCAAAUUGUAAAUGGCAGCCCUCAAAUCUGACAUUAAUGCACCUUUCCCCAGCUCUGAGAGCUGCUGCCAACAGUAAUGAGACGGCCUGGCUUUGGGAGAGCCUGAUCACAUAAUAACAGAACCAUUAGGAAGUCAUUAUAUCCACUGGCAUAGUGAUAGACACAGCAAGCCUCAUUUUCUCUGAAAUUAUUCUGGAGUCACUAACCUGUCUACAUCUUCAACCUUAUCGCCAUGGGAAAUACCAAAGAAACGUCUAAGGACAGCAGAGAAAUGAUUGUUGACCUUCACCAAAGUGGAAUCGGCUACAUGACCAUCAGCAAGCAGCCUGGUGACAACUGUGAGCGGAAUUAUUCACAAAUGGAAGAAACACAAAAUAACUGUCAAUCUCCCUCGGUCUGGGGCCCCAAGGAAGGUUUUAUCUCAUGCAGCAUCACUGAUCUUAAGAAUGGUGAGGGCUAACCCCAGAUAUACAUGGGAGGAGCUCGCUAAUGAUGGGACCACAGUCACCAAGCAAACCAUCGGUAACACAUCCUGCCGUUACGGUUUGAAAUCCUGCAUUGCUCCCAACGUACCCCUGCUCAACAGGGCCCGUGUUCAGGCCCGUCUGAACCAGUGGACACCUGAAUAAUUCCAAUGAGGCUUGAAAGAAUGUGAUGUGGUCAGACGAGACCAAAAUCAAGCUGUUUACAUUGUUCUGCGUGACCACAAGUGGAACAGCAAGCAAACCCGAUGUGGCAGAGCUUCACCAAAGGCAACAGGUGAUUAACCCCAUGACAGUAAAAGUUGCUGAUCAGGGGGGGUUUCACCAUGGCUCCUUUAGGAGAUGUAACUGCGAGGAUGCACCACUGCAGACACACGAAGAGCCGCAGUGAGCAGUGUGACAUGGGGAAACCAAGGACCAGCCCAGCAUGCAGAUGCCAGCAGCCAUACCACCUGCCCUCCAGACUACAUGAUCCAUCAGAAGUAAACACGUCUGGGUCUGUUCAGUACUUGGAUGAGAAAUCAUCUAGGAAAUUGGGUUGCUGCUGGAAGAAGUGCUGGUGUGGCCAAAAGAUUUGCCUAUCCUGUGGUCUGCCGCCGCAUCAUCCAGAUGUUCUUAUCCAAAGCGACAUACAUUCCUGAAAAAACAACAUCCAACAGACCCUGAAGCAACUGCGUGGUAAGAGACUUGCUCAUCAACCCAACAGAGGAGUUACUCAGCCAGUGACUUUCCAAUCACUGACUCAGCGUC
Brienomyrus brachyistius is the source of this 1895-nucleotide long non-coding RNA. RefSeq lists it as uncharacterized. The transcript has 5 exons. The record is from RefSeq and is a predicted model, not a curated record. Lineage: Eukaryota; Metazoa; Chordata; Actinopteri; Osteoglossiformes; Mormyridae.